This 907-nucleotide ribosomal RNA is filed under the name Curvularia crassiseptata. RNAcentral's name for it is "LSU rRNA". It matches the Rfam family "Eukaryotic large subunit ribosomal RNA", at positions 38 to 963 of the family's 3401-position model. The record is from RNAcentral. Lineage: Eukaryota; Fungi; Ascomycota; Dothideomycetes; Pleosporales; Pleosporaceae.
GCAUAUCAAUAAGCGGAGGAAAAGAAACCAACAGGGAUUGCCUUAGUAACGGCGAGUGAAGCGGCAACAGCUCAAAUUUGAAAUCUGGCUCUUUUAGGGUCCGAGUUGUAAUUUGCAGAGGGCGCUUUGGCUUUGGCAGCGGUCCAAGUUCCUUGGAACAGGACGUCACAGAGGGUGAGAAUCCCGUACGUGGUCGCUAGCUAUUGCCGUGUAAAGCCCCUUCGACGAGUCGAGUUGUUUGGGAAUGCAGCUCUAAAUGGGAGGUAAAUUUCUUCUAAAGCUAAAUAUUGGCCAGAGACCGAUAGCGCACAAGUAGAGUGAUCGAAAGAUGAAAAGCACUUUGGAAAGAGAGUCAAACAGCACGUGAAAUUGUUGAAAGGGAAGCGCUUGCAGCCAGACUUGCUUGCAGUUGCUCAUCCGGGCUUUUGCCCGGUGCACUCUUCUGUAGGCAGGCCAGCAUCAGUUUGGGCGGUGGGAUAAAGGUCUCUGACACGUUCCUUCCUUCGGGUUGGCCAUAUAGGGGAGACGUCAUACCACCAGCCUGGACUGAGGUCCGCGCAUCUGCUAGGAUGCUGGCGUAAUGGCUGUAAGCGGCCCGUCUUGAAACACGGACCAAGGAGUCUAACAUCUAUGCGAGUGUUUGGGUGUCAAGCCCGAGCGCGUAAUGAAAGUGAACGGAGGUGGGAACCCGCAAGGGUGCACCAUCGACCGAUCCUGAAGUUUACGGAAGGAUUUGAGUAAGAGCAUGGCUGUUGGGACCCGAAAGAUGGUGAACUAUGCUUGAAUAGGGUGAAGCCAGAGGAAACUCUGGUGGAGGCUCGCAGCGGUUCUGACGUGCAAAUCGAUCGUCAAAUUUGGGCAUAGGGGCGAAAGACUAAUCGAACUAUCUAGUAGCUGGUUCCUGCCG